Molecule: long non-coding RNA, 941 nt
Filed under: Equus caballus (horse)
Lineage: Eukaryota; Metazoa; Chordata; Mammalia; Perissodactyla; Equidae
Description: lncRNA (ENSECAG00000043629.2)
Source: RNAcentral
CUUGGUACACAUUUUCUGGAAAGGAAGGUUCUAGAAGUUGUUCCUGGUUGGAAGAGAAGUACAUAGUCGUAUAUUCUUCGUUGUGGGUCCUUCUACUUGUGGCAUGUGGGACGCCACCUCAGCAUGGCUUGAUGAGUGGUGCUGUGUCCGCACCCAGGAUUCCAACCGACGAAACACUGGGCCGCCUGCAGCGGAGCGUGCGAACUUAACCACUCGGCCACGGGGCCAGCCCCACAUCUCUCCAGAUUUUGAGGGGGUUGUCUCUAAAAGAGGUAAUUUUCCUCAAGAAAACCGCCAGUUUUGGAGGCUCUGGUUUGUCACUGAAAUGCAGAACCUGAAUCUGACACACAUUUUUUUGCAGUAAGGAAAGAAAUGGUACGUGCCAGGCACUCUGAGAGAUCAGACGAAGGAGCCACAAACGCAGGGGACAGACGUCAGCACAAGUUCCACAAAGGCGCUGACUUGUGAGCUGGGCCUGGCAGUGGUCAGUGAAGAGGUCCUCAGGGAGCCAAAGGCGGGCUAGGAGGGCAUGGGAGGACAACUUUCCACUUUGGCAUUAAGUCUCAAGUCAGACUAUUAGAAUGACAAUUCCUUAGAAGCUGACACCCUGUUUGAUUCAUCUUCCUAUGUCCCAGGGACUUUUCUAAACCCUUGCCCUCAGUGGAGCCCCAAGUAACAGUGGUGUUUAAUUCAUUCCCUGGUCUGAAGGGAUUCAGCAGCUUUCCAUUAAUUAUGAAGAAAUCCACCCCCUCUCCUGGAUGACGAAGCCCCGUGAGAUCUGUACCUCUCUUGGCUUGCUCUUCCCUUCCCCAAUUUGACUGUAUCACUCAUUCUGUGACUGGCUAUUUCUCAUUCUUUAGGUUUCCAUGUAAACGUCCUCUCCUCAGAGAGGUCCUGCCUGAUAGGCUUGUCUAAGCAGCCUCCUCAUACUCCGCUCUGAU